GACGAACGCUGGCGGCGUGCUUAACACAUGCAAGUCGAACGGUAAGGCCCUUCGGGGUACACGAGUGGCGAACGGGUGAGUAACACGUGGGUGGUCUGCCCUGCACUUCGGGAUAAGCCUGGGAAACUGGGUCUAAUACCGGAUAGGACUCCUGGCUUCAUGGUUGGGGGUGGAAAGCUUUUGCGGUGUGGGAUGGGCCCGCGGCCUAUCAGCUUGUUGGUGGGGUAAUGGCCUACCAAGGCGACGACGGGUAGCCGGCCUGAGAGGGUGACCGGUCACACUGGGACUGAGAUACGGCCCAGACUCCUACGGGAGGCAGCAGUGGGGAAUAUUGCACAAUGGGCGCAAGCCUGAUGCAGCGACGCCGCGUGAGGGAUGACGGCCUUCGGGUUGUAAACCUCUUUCAGCUAUGACGAAGCGCAAGUGACGGUAGUAGCAGAAGAAGGACCGGCCAACUACGUGCCAGCCGCCGUAACAC
RNAcentral lists this ribosomal RNA (478 nucleotides) under uncultured bacterium. RNAcentral's name for it is "partial 16S ribosomal RNA". It matches the Rfam family "Bacterial small subunit ribosomal RNA", at positions 28 to 526 of the family's 1533-position model. The record is from RNAcentral.